Non-coding RNA from Labrus bergylta (ballan wrasse), 415 nucleotides. The record is from RefSeq and is a predicted model, not a curated record. Lineage: Eukaryota; Metazoa; Chordata; Actinopteri; Labriformes; Labridae.
CAACAAACCACCACUGUCAUAUGAUCCGACUACAGCCUCACCAUCUUUCAAACACUGCAGAGCAACAUCUCCUGUCCAUUAGGCUACUCCCUGGACUACAGCCCAUCUGUUUGGAGUACCAGAGGACUCACCAUGUGGCUAAAAGGUUUUAUAAGUAACCAUGUCAACAUGAAACUUCUGAAGACCUGUGUCAUCCUUCUCCUUCUGACUGUGUUGUUCUUUACACGAAGAAACAUGGACCUGCUGCAGUACCAGAGGAGGACUCACCAUGUGCCUAAAAGGAUUUGAGUAACCAUGUCAACAUGACACUUCUGAAGACCUGUGUCAUCCUUCUCCUUCUGACUGUGUUGUUCUUUGUACUAAGAAACAUGGACCUGCUGCAGGUGAGAACUGGGAUUAGUGGCAACACUUUGAA